UCCUCUUUUCCUUUCCUUUCCCAUAGCACAUAUUCACACUUCCAGAAGAAGUAUCCCUCCCAUCUCCUUUGAGUCUUCUUUCUUCAGAGAUGAGCGUGCUGAUAACUUCUGAAAGAUCCACCUGCUCCUUCCCAUGAGCAAUAUUGGAUUCAUGUGCGCAAAAGACAAAGGAAGAGACCAGACGAGCCUUAAGGCUUGAUCCCCCUCA
This 208-nucleotide long non-coding RNA is filed under the name Nicotiana benthamiana. Its description in RNAcentral is "long non-coding RNA (NBEN_LNC018695)". Lineage: Eukaryota; Viridiplantae; Streptophyta; Magnoliopsida; Solanales; Solanaceae. The record is from RNAcentral.